Molecule: non-coding RNA, 248 nt
Organism: Pelobates cultripes (western spadefoot toad)
Lineage: Eukaryota; Metazoa; Chordata; Amphibia; Anura; Pelobatidae
Source: the annotation of a GenBank genome assembly
CUUUAAAAAGAAUUUAAUAUCAAUUGGUCCCGAUCACGUGAUCGGGAUGCGGCGCACAUGCGCAGAUCGUCUUUUGUGCUGAACACUUCCUGAUAUAGACGGAGUGCUCGGUGGCCGACUGGGAGACACAGUGCUUCAUGGGAAACGAAGUCCUGCCGGUCACCGAGCUCUCCUGAAGUUAGAUACAUAACAAAGGGCAAUUUUUUUUGCAAUAUAAAAGAGAAAAAAAAAAAAAAGGCAUUUAAAAG